This 122-nucleotide small nucleolar RNA is filed under the name Echinops telfairi (small Madagascar hedgehog). Its description in RNAcentral is "Small nucleolar RNA SNORA61 (ENSETEG00000026868.1)". Lineage: Eukaryota; Metazoa; Chordata; Mammalia; Afrosoricida; Tenrecidae. The record is from RNAcentral.
ACCACUCCAGCUUCCCUACUCAUCAGAUCUACACACUGGUCUGAGUGACUAUGAGGGGAGGAAAAUUAAAAUUGAAAUCAACUUGGAUCCUUUCAUGACAUCCAUGUUUGUUUCAAACAAAC